AUUGAACGCUGGCGGCAUGCCUUACACAUGCAAGUCGAACGGCAGCACGGGUGCUUGCACCUGGUGGCGAGUGGCGAGCGGGUGAGUAAUACAUCGGAACAUGUCCUGUAGUGGGGGAUAGCCCGGCGAAAGCCGGAUUAAUACCGCAUACGAUCUACGGAUGAAAGCGGGGGACCUUCGGGCCUCGCGCUAUAGGGUUGGCCGAUGGCUGAUUAGCUAGUUGGUGGGGUAAAGGCCUACCAAGGCGACGAUCAGUAGCUGGUCUGAGAGGACAACCAGCCACACUGGGACUGAGACACGGCCCAGACUCCUACGGGAGGCAGCAGUGGGGAAUUUUGGACAAUGGGCGAAAGCCUGAUCCAGCAAUGCCGCGUGUGUGAAGAAGGCCUUCGGGUUGUAAAGCACUUUUGUCCGGAAAGAAAUCCUUGGCCCUAAUACGGUCGGGGGAUGACGGUACCGGAAGAAUAAGCACCGGCUAACUACGUG
Molecule: ribosomal RNA, 486 nt
Filed under: uncultured bacterium
Lineage: Bacteria
Description: partial 16S ribosomal RNA
Rfam family: Bacterial small subunit ribosomal RNA
Source: RNAcentral